This 253-nucleotide ribosomal RNA is filed under the name uncultured bacterium. RNAcentral's name for it is "partial 16S ribosomal RNA". It matches the Rfam family "Bacterial small subunit ribosomal RNA", at positions 524 to 776 of the family's 1533-position model. The record is from RNAcentral.
UACGUAGGCAGCAAGCGUUGUUCGGAGUUACUGGGCGUAAAGGGUGCGUAGGCGGCUUUUUAAGUUUGGUGUGAAAUCUCCCGGCUCAACUGGGAGGGUGCGGCGAAUACUGAGAGGCUAGAGUGUGGGAGAGGAAAGUGGAAUUCCUGGUGUAGCGGUGAAAUGCGUAGAUAUCAGGAGGAACACCUGUGGUGUAGGCAGCUUACUGGACCACUUCUGACGCUGAGACACGAAAGCGUGGGGAGCAAACAGG